ACUGACUGCCAGUCACCUGUUGAACCAACUGCUAAUAGGAAACAUUUGUCUCCUGAACUGAAUAUACAAGAGUUAUUUUCUCUUAUAUCUGCAAUCUUCCCAGCUCCAAUUUAAAAACAUGGGGAAUGAGACUUCACGCUCAAAUACCCACGUGGCCAAUGCAACCGGGAAGCAUCUUCGGAUUUUCUAUGGAGUGGAUAAAAUGAGGCUGGAAGAAAUGGUGAUAAAUGUGGGAGUAGGGAUUGGAGGUACAGCAUCAAAAACUGAACAAUCAGCAUCAGGGAACAUUUCCACCGAUGUGAAGAUGGUUUUUAAACCAGACUCCCGGGUCCGUUACAUUCACUUGCCGCAGAACGAGACAUGUAACUUUGCCGGGGAAGGCACCAUCUAUGCCUCUGUCCUUUUGGAAGAUGAAAACGACGAAAAAAUCUGCAGUGGUGUCAUCUGCCAAAAUUUCCAUAUCCCCAGCGACCGGUCUUUUAUCGUGACUGCCAAUCAUACCAUCAAAUUGCAGAAGUAUGGUGCAAGCCUUUGGGUUGAUGAAGACGGCAAUAACCAUCGUCCUUAACUUUCCUCUUCAUCCAUCAUGAGGCCACCUUGGAAGUGUGCUGAGGCCCCAUAGGGGUAGUAGUGCACUGGUUGAGAACCACUGGUUUAGAUAACAAAAUCUUUGUUUUCAACAACAAUGUAAAAAAAAAAUCUUAGUAAUAAUGUUAACAUACCUCUGGUAUUAAUUAACAGAUUUUAUUUUUAAAUAUGUGCUCUGAAAUAUAAAAAAGCAAUGGGGAUCUUUAAAAUGUUAGCUGUGAACACUUUAUUUCAUCAUUGUUAGAAAUCUAUAGUGAAUAUUUCUUCUAAUGGAAACAUUGUUCGCAAAACUCUCACAAAAAUUAAAUCUAUGAAACUAACUUAAAGCUACCACAUUUUUGCAAAGAUUUAUAUUUCAAUAAAAGCAAUACAAAAUUCAAAGCUCUUAAUAAUCAGGUUAUUGGUUAAUGGAAUGAUGAGCUGUAAAAUAACAGAGCUUAAUCAUAUGGAAACAGAAAUCUCACCACAAUGUGUAUCAUCAAUAAAAAACAUUAAUUUCAUUAUAUUGCAUUACAAAUUUGCAUUGUGAUAAAUGCAGAAGAGAUUAUUUAAAAAACAUGCAUUUAACAUUUUAUUGAGCUAAUACCGUUAAAGAAAUAAUCAUGACUGUUAGAAAAAGAACACUCCCUUCCACAGAUGUUUCCUCUUAUUGUUUGAGUGUGAGUGAUCUCAUCUUCUCUCUUACUCCUGCCCUCCCUUUCUUUUCCCAUGUUUUUCUCUCUCCUCCCAUCUGUGUUCUCUUUCUCUAGUCCUAUAUCUCUUUACCUCAAUGUAUACAUGCAUGCGCAGACGAUACAUAGAGUUCAAUCGGUGAAGAAUGGUGGGGGACCUCUGUGGGCCCAGGUUACUGGGUUUAGUUUGUCCUUUACUGAAAGUUGAAGAGUCCCACUGCCAAUAUAUAUUCCUUAUAGUCCAGUAUUUGCUGAUCAUAUGCUUACCUCAGCUUGUUGUUUUGGCUUAUACUCAACACAUAUGUAAUCUGUAUCCUAUUGGUUGAAAGGGCUGUACCACCAUUAUUGUAUCUUUAUAUACUCAGUGUAAGACAAUAAAGAUUUGAAGUUAAGGUAUACUCAGA
Long non-coding RNA from Cyprinus carpio (common carp), 1663 nucleotides. RefSeq lists it as uncharacterized. Lineage: Eukaryota; Metazoa; Chordata; Actinopteri; Cypriniformes; Cyprinidae. The record is from RefSeq and is a predicted model, not a curated record. The transcript has 2 exons.